Molecule: non-coding RNA, 112 nt
Organism: Acanthosepion pharaonis
Lineage: Eukaryota; Metazoa; Mollusca; Cephalopoda; Sepiida; Sepiidae
Source: the annotation of a GenBank genome assembly
UAUGGCGAUAUCACGUUGAAAGACCGCUUCUCAUGUGAUCGCCGAAGUUAAGCAACAUCGAGCCUGGUCAAUAACUAGAUGGUUGGCCGCUUGAGAAUACCAGGUGCUGUAA